AUCCCGUGAUGAAGGCAUCUACGUAGUAACUCAUUGAAUAUUUCCCAUGCCUCGUAUAAGGACUCGUCAUUCAAUUGUUAAAAAGUGGUGAUCUCAUUCCACAACUU
RNAcentral lists this small nucleolar RNA (107 nucleotides) under Gossypium raimondii (Peruvian cotton). RNAcentral's name for it is "snoRNA LOC128032196". It matches the Rfam family "Plant small nucleolar RNA R71". Rfam says of the family: R71 is a member of the C/D box family of snoRNAs containing the C (UGAUGA) and D (CUGA) box motifs. Multiple nearly identical copies of this snoRNA have been identified in Arabidopsis, and it is thought to function as a 2'-O-ribose methylation guide for 18S ribosomal RNA. Lineage: Eukaryota; Viridiplantae; Streptophyta; Magnoliopsida; Malvales; Malvaceae. The record is from Rfam by way of RNAcentral.